UACGUAGGGGCCGAGCGUUGUCCGGAGUUACUGGGCGUAAAGCGCGCGCAGGCGGCUCGUCAAGCCUGACGUGAAAGCCCCCGGCUCAACCGGGGAGGGUCGUCGGGGACUGGCGGGCUUGAGGUCGGCAGGGGUUGGUGGAAUUCCCGGUGUAGUGGUGAAAUGCGUAGAGAUCGGGAGGAACACCCGUGGCGAAGGCGGCCAACUGGACCACAACUGACGCUGAGGCGCGAAAGCUAGGGGAGCAAACAGG
RNAcentral lists this ribosomal RNA (253 nucleotides) under uncultured bacterium. RNAcentral describes it as "partial 16S ribosomal RNA". It matches the Rfam family "Bacterial small subunit ribosomal RNA", at positions 524 to 776 of the family's 1533-position model. The record is from RNAcentral.